UACGUAGGGCGCAAGCGUUGUCCGGAAUUAUUGGGCGUAAAGAGCUCGUAGGUGGCUUGUCACGUCGGGUGUGAAAGCUUGGGGCUUAACUCCAGGUCUGCAUUCGAUACGGGCUGGCUAGAGGUAGGUAGGGGAGACUGGAAUUCCUGGUGUAGCGGUGAAAUGCGCAGAUAUCAGGAGGAACACCGGUGGCGAAGGCGGGUCUCUGGGCCGUAACUGACGCUGAGGAGCGAAAGCGUGGGGAGCGAACAGG
Molecule: ribosomal RNA, 253 nt
Filed under: uncultured bacterium
Lineage: Bacteria
Description: partial 16S ribosomal RNA
Rfam family: Bacterial small subunit ribosomal RNA
Source: RNAcentral